UACAGGGGGGGCAAGCGUUGUUCGGAAUUACUGGGCGUAAAGGGCUCGUAGGCGGCCAACUAAGUCCGACGUGAAAUCCCAAAGCUUAACUUUGGAACUGCGUCGGAUACUGGAUGGCUUGAAUUCGGGAGAGGGAUGCAGAAUUCCAGGUGUAGCGGUGAAAUGCGUAGAUAUCUGGAGGAACACCGGUGGCGAAGGCGGCAUCCUGGACCGACACUGACGCUGAGGCGCGAAAGCUAGGGGAGCAAACGGG
This 253-nucleotide ribosomal RNA is filed under the name uncultured bacterium. Its description in RNAcentral is "partial 16S ribosomal RNA". It matches the Rfam family "Bacterial small subunit ribosomal RNA", at positions 524 to 776 of the family's 1533-position model. The record is from RNAcentral.